UAUGCACAGUAGAGAUUAAUUGAUUUGAGGGCUCGUUACACGUCUCGAUAUUUCUCAGUAUAAGAUGAAUGAAAUUAGAGAAAAUCCUUUAGACAACCGACAAAAACACCUUGAUGUCAUGUGUUUUCCUACUCUUUUUCCAACUGGGAAUUUUGGUGCCGAUCAUUCUCGUGCAGUUAAACUUAGUAAUGCUGAGUAUAUAAAAUCUCGACUUCUUAAUGUUGACUCGAGAUAUAGGAAGAAUCCAGCCUAUGUCUUCUUCUUAUUAUGGGAGAAAGAAUUAAGGGAGCUGAAAAGUGGCAUAUACAACACACUAAGAACAACCAGUCAAAACAUGUCAGCUCAAGCUAUGCUAAAUAUGCUCAACAAUGCAGACAGAAAAUUGGAAGCUAGUUUAUGUACUGUACUCCAGUCUGUACGUGGCACUAAGCAAUUCUGGUUUAAACGUAAAGGAGAUGUUGACUGUAUGAUAAGAGAAUUUGGAUCUCCCACUUUCUUUUGCACUUUUAGCUGUGCUGAAUAUGAAUCUCCUGACAUUCUUGAAUAUUUGAGGAAAGUCAAUGAUGUCCCUGACUCGUAUGACAAUGGCAGAUUAUGCACUGAAGAUCCUAUUUCCGUAUCUCGCCAAUUUUCACAUAAAUUUCAUGAAUUUUUUUCAAUCUUUAUUAAGAAGGGUCAAGUUUUGGGGCAAGUAGAUCACUUUUUUUGGAAAAAAGAGUACCAACAACGUGGUGCUCCACAUUAUCACGUCCUUCUUUGGAUAAGGGAUGCUCCUAAAAUGGGUCAGGACAAACCUGAAGAUGUCAUAGCAUUUAUUGACAGGCACAUUACCUGUCACAUUCCUAAUCAUAAUACUUGCCCAGAAUUACAUAAGACAGUUAUGUCCAAACAAUUGCAUAAAUGUAGUGCCUACUGCAAAAAGAAAUACAAAUCGGGUAGUCACUAUUUUCAGAGAUGUAAAUUUGGCUACCCACGCCCUGUAACAUCAAAAACAACACUAAAAGAUGUUACCAAAAAUCUCAAAGCUCAUCAAAAAAUAUAUGAUUUGAAACGCCAUGAAGCUGAAACCAGAGUUAAUGACUAUAAUCCACUGCUGCUACUACAGUGGGGAGCAAAUACGUCCACAGAGGUAGAGGGCAUCCAUUAUUAUUUUCUGUCUAUUAAGGUGUGGCUUAACUAAGACUAAGUUAACUUCUUUAAUGGCGCUCUGGCGACUCAUACCUACAUGUAGUUUCUAGCUCUAGCUCUCUCAAAUUUCAGUCAAGUGGAACAUGGCAACAGACGAAUUAGUAAUCAACUGGGGGUGCAGCUAUGACUGUCUGCCAUCUUGGGUGGCAAGAAUGUACAAGUAAUGAAUGGAGGAGAUGCAGAAACAAACUGGGAUUUUCCAACGAUGAGAUACAUGUAUCAUACUUGACUGUAGAAUGUUAUAGAGAGUUCUUCACUCAAUAUCUUCAUCUCCUAGCUUGCAUUAGCCUGUAUUGUAAACCAGUGUUGUAUUAUUUAACUAUAACUAAAUCUGUUUUAGUACAACAAAAUUGUGUUAACUAAACUAUAGAUCUAAUUCUUCCACUUGAUGUCAAAGUAACUAGAAUCAUAACUAAAAUGACUUGUCAAAACUAUAUCUAAAAUACAAUUAACAGUUUUGUACUAGUACUAGCCGUACCUACUUAUUAAUUGAAAUCUACUUUUAUUUGACCAAAAUUGAGCCUGUUGAGAGGGUACUUUUGUUAGUAA
Amphimedon queenslandica is the source of this 1737-nucleotide RNA transcript. It is a transcript of the gene named microprocessor complex subunit DGCR8-like, with no coding region annotated. The record is from RefSeq and is a predicted model, not a curated record. Lineage: Eukaryota; Metazoa; Porifera; Demospongiae; Haplosclerida; Niphatidae. The transcript has 2 exons.